Molecule: microRNA, 21 nt
Filed under: Tribolium castaneum (red flour beetle)
Lineage: Eukaryota; Metazoa; Arthropoda; Insecta; Coleoptera; Tenebrionidae
Description: tca-miR-3806c-3p
Source: miRBase by way of RNAcentral
UAUGUGUAUUCGUGCGUAGCA